Molecule: long non-coding RNA, 1813 nt
Filed under: Sus scrofa (pig)
Lineage: Eukaryota; Metazoa; Chordata; Mammalia; Artiodactyla; Suidae
Description: lncRNA (ENSSSCG00005012848.1)
Source: RNAcentral
ACGCGUUCUCCGGCAAGAGUGGUUUCAGCUGUUUUUUUGGACGUGCUAGUAGUUAACUCAUGGGAUAGAAAUACUACCGGGAGUGGUGAGAAACAAGACCUAGAAAGCUCAGAGAAAAGCAGAUGGAGAGUGGAGCUCUUGUCUGUCUUCUCGGCUCCUAACGGCAGCCCCAGAUUCGCAAUGAAGAGCCCCACGCCACAUGAAAUGUGAGCAAGUCCACCCACCUCAUCUACCCUGGCGGCCAGUUCCUCGUUGGACCAGAUCCCUUCUAUCAUAAGCUCCUCCUCAGCACAUGGUUAUUACUGGAAUGCUGGUGGUUUGGGCAACUCUUUUUCUGGUGAGAUGGUGCAGUGGGAAGGUACAUCCCACUUCCAGCGGGCUGUCCCUCGGUGCUGGCUUGGCUUCUUGGGAAAAGAGUGAAGAAUCAGAGCCUACACGCUGCUGCUGAGCUCCACAGCCUCCAUCUUGCCUCCUCCUGUUUAGACGAUGCGGGUCCUAGUUCUGGGAAGCCCUUCCACCGGCAGAUCGCAGAGCCUCUCUGAACUUCAGGCUCCUCAUCUAUAAAAUGGACCUCCCAAGGUGGUGGUUUAGUGCUGUCAGGGACAUGUUGGCAGGAGGACCGUGUGAGCUGUUGUAUCCACAGUAGCCUGGAAAGGCCCUUCCCGCUGAGGCGUAUGGCCCAAUGAAGUUGGAGGGGUGAAUUCGAAGCAAGACCUCAAGCAGGGGGUGAAGCGGACAUGAUGUAGAGAAGCUGCUGCUGAUGGCAAUGGGACCAGAAAAGGGGGGCCUAAGGAAGAGAGAACAUGAGAAGCAAAAAGGGCAGCCCCUUAACCUUCAACCUCAGAGGCUCGUGUGGGAGAAACCCAGUCAGGUCUGAGGGGAGAUCUCACAGCAAGGGGGUGGGUGGGACUUGACUCAGAUUGCAGUGGGGAGAAAUUUUAAUGACACCCCCUCCCUAGCAAACCAGCGAUGCAAGAUGGUGCCAGCACAAUAUGGUGCCAAUCAGGAGGUGGUUUGGAAUGGCUGAGGAAGGGAGUCUGGGAAGUGGCUUCAUGCAACGCUGCUCGUUCUAGUGAGAAUGCAGCCAGGUAGUCCUAGGUCCCAGGGGCCGCAGAGCCAAGAUCUGCCUCACCAGCUAUGUGCAGGGACCACGCACUUUGGCUUCACCUCUUCCUGCCCCUACCCCACCAGCAAGCCCCAGGGACCAGAACCAUCUCUGUCCUGCGUGUGUGUGUGUGUUGUGUGUGUGUGUGUGUGUGUGUGUGUGUGUGUGUGUGUAAGAAUGCAGGGGACUCCACUCAGACCUUCAACCCUCUUGUCCCACCACCGUGAGGCCCAUGAACAUCUCUCUGCACCAGGAAAUUAUCUUGGCUGGGAGAAGGCGGAAGGGUGAGAAAACCUUGGAAUACUGAGCAAUUUUACUCAAAAGAGACUGAGUUAAUCAUACAGAAAUGGAGCUAUGUCUAAGGGGCAAUUUAAUGCUUUCUUUUUGUUUGUUUUCUUUUUGCCCGUCAGUAGUAGGAAUUAUCAGAUCACGAUGAGAAGAGUAUAAGAAAAAGUAAGAACAAUACUGAUUUGACCCAUCUGGGUAGGUGUGUGUGUGUGAUCUUUAGCCCUCCCACAAUUAUGUCUGUACACGUUUGCUGGGGCAACUGUAUAUUUUCAAUUCCAAUCGUCAGACCUUUCCUUGAAGCUCACGUGUGUUUUGAUCUGGCCAGGAAUUGAGAAUCAUAAAAUCAUUAAAUCUGUAUUAAUUACCUAUUGCUGCAUAGUAAGUUAAUCCAAAAUUUAGCUGAAAUAAAUAUGUAUUAUC